GAUGAACGCUAGCUACAGGCUUAACACAUGCAAGUCGCAGGGUAACAUGAGGAAAGCUUGCUUUCCUUGAUGACGACUGGCGCACGGGUGAGUAACGCGUAUCCAACCUUCCCAUAACUACGGGAUAACCCGUUGAAAGACGGCCUAAUACCGUAUGACAUCGUUUGCUGACAUCAAAUAACGAUUAAAGGUUUAGCGGUUAUGGAUGGGGAUGCGUCUGAUUAGCUUGUUGGCGGGGUAACGGCCCACCAAGGCGACGAUCAGUAGGGGUUCUGAGAGGAAGGUCCCCCACAUUGGAACUGAGACACGGUCCAAACUCCUACGGGAGGCAGCAGUGAGGAAUAUUGGUCAAUGGGCGAGAGCCUGAACCAGCCAAGUAGCGUGCAGGACGACGGCCCUAUGGGUUGUAAACUGCUUUUAUGUGGGGAUAAAGUGCGUGACGUGUCAUGCAUUGCAGGUACCACAUGAAUAAGGACCGGCUAAUUCCGUGCCAGCAGCCGCGGUAAUACGGAAGGUCCGGGCGUUAUCCGGAUUUAUUGGGUUUAAAGGGAGCGUAGGCUGUCUAUUAAGCGUGUUGUGAAAUAUACCGGCUCAACCGGUGGCUUGCAGCGCGAACUGGUCGACUUGAGUAUGCAGGAAGUAGGCGGAAUUCAUGGUGUAGCGGUGAAAUGCUUAGAUAUCAUGACGAACUCCGAUUGCGCAGGCAGCUUACUGUAGCAUAACUGACGCUGAUGCUCGAAAGUGCGGGUAUCAAACAGG
This 759-nucleotide ribosomal RNA is filed under the name uncultured Prevotella sp. RNAcentral's name for it is "bacterial SSU rRNA". It matches the Rfam family "Bacterial small subunit ribosomal RNA", at positions 28 to 776 of the family's 1533-position model. The record is from RNAcentral. Lineage: Bacteria; Pseudomonadati; Bacteroidota; Bacteroidia; Bacteroidales; Prevotellaceae.